UGGGGAUGAAACUGUGGGGGGUGGUGAAGCAGUUGGUGGUGGCUGAGCCGGUGGUGUUUGGUUGUUAACUGGUGGAGGAGAACCAGUGGGUGUAGGUGGAGCUUGGGUAGCUGGUGUUGGAGGCGCUUGGGUAGUGGGUGUAGGUGGUGCUUGGUUAGUGGGUGUUGGAGGAGCCUGGUUAGUGGGUGUUGGUGGAGUCUGUGUAGGUGGUGCUUGAUUAGUAGGGGGUGCCUGUGUUGGUGGUGCCUGUGUAGGUGGUGCUUGGGUAGGGGGUGCCUGUGUUGGUGGUGCCUGCGUAGGUGGUGCUUGGUUAGUAGGGGGUGUCUGUGUUGGUGGUGCCUGUGUAGGUGGUGCUUGGGUAGGGGGUGUUGGAGGUGCUUGACCUCCAACCCCAGCGACGAUAAUGCAGAUCAUAAACCCCAACAAAACAGCAUUAUUCCUACCCAUCAUUUUGACAAUGGAGAGGAGGAAAUUAAAGGAAUGUGAAAGAAGAUAUCUGGUGCUGCUUGGGAAAAGAGAGGUUUGGGAAGGGAAUAUAUAAGAGAUUUUCUAAAAGAAGUAUGGUAUAUAUUUGAAGGUUGGAAAAGAAAGAGUAGAAAGGUGGCAAAUCCAAUUUGUAGUAACAGUGUGAGUUGUGACUACCAAAUACUUAUG
This 654-nucleotide long non-coding RNA is filed under the name Solanum tuberosum (potato). Its description in RNAcentral is "long non-coding RNA (STUB_LNC009691)". The record is from RNAcentral. Lineage: Eukaryota; Viridiplantae; Streptophyta; Magnoliopsida; Solanales; Solanaceae.